Arabidopsis thaliana (thale cress) is the source of this 221-nucleotide microRNA precursor. It matches the Rfam family "MIR854 microRNA precursor family". The record is from Rfam. NCBI's taxonomy places the organism in Eukaryota, Viridiplantae, Streptophyta, Magnoliopsida, Brassicales, Brassicaceae.
UCGGUGAGACGGAUGAGGAGAAGUAUGAUUCAAGCAUGUAUCAUUUCAGUGAGCACGUAGCUCUAGCGAGGGAGAGUAAGAGCUUGAGUGAAGCUCACAGAAACAAUAGCAAGUUGCAGAAGUGGUGCAAGAAGCAAGACAAGUUCAUUAUCAAAUGCCUAAAGACUAUCAAGUCUUUGAAGGCCAUGCUAAGCUGCUCCACUUCCACUACAACUAUUCUG